Long non-coding RNA from Otolemur garnettii (small-eared galago), 716 nucleotides. RefSeq lists it as uncharacterized. The record is from RefSeq and is a predicted model, not a curated record. NCBI's taxonomy places the organism in Eukaryota, Metazoa, Chordata, Mammalia, Primates, Galagidae. The transcript is spliced from 3 exons.
GCACACCUUCGACCUCCCUGUGCAGCAGGCGGUCCUUAGUCUGGACUGCAGAGGAAGGAGAAAAUGGACUCUCUUCUGCUAGAGACUUGAAUGCGAGCCACCAGCUGUGGGUGUCAGAGUUUACAGCCUAUUAGAGGAAGACAACUUUAAGUGUUGAACAGUGCCAUGAACAGACGGGGCCACAGAAUAAGCUCUACCUCCACGCCUUGCCUCUUUUGGAACAGUGCUCAAGAAUGCCACACUGCUUGCUGAACCACACCUGUUAACUGCAGAUUGAGAAGCCUUGGAGAGAAAAGAAGAUAAAGGCCAUUGUGGAAUUUAGGAUUGCGGGACAUCCUUUGACAUGACACUACAGCCAAGGAGGAUCAACCAGUGGAUGUGCAAACAGGAGCUGGAAGAAACCAUGGGCAAAGCCUGUCUGGUCUUCUGGGGGCUUGGAUGGAUAGAAGGAUAUAUGCAAAUGACCCUCCCUGGACCCCCCACUUGCACUAUAUAGUACUGAUGUGGCUGCAGCUCCUGUCCCAGGGUCCUCCCUUCAGGGAUACCCAUAUUUGUUGAUCAUCUGCCAUUUGCCUACCUGGUCCCUGCAGAGUAAAAAGAAGAAAAUAGCCUUCAGCAGUGGCUGACACAGGAGCCCACUCGAUACACAAUAAGGAGUCCAGGGACACAGGAUGAUGCGACUCCCUCCCCUAGGGGACUGGUGUUCCCUAAGCAUA